UGGGUGAUCUGCCCUGCACUCUGGGAUAAGCCUGGGAAACUGGGUCUAAUACCGGAUAUGAUCAUGGCCUGCAUGGGUUGUGGUGGAAAGCUUUUGCGGUGUGGGAUGGGCCCGCGGCCUAUCAGCUUGUUGGUGGGGUUAUGGCCUACCAAGGCGACGACGGGUAGCUGGUCUGAGAGGAUGGCCAGCCACAGUUGGGACUGAGACACGGCCCAGACCUCUACGGGA
This 228-nucleotide ribosomal RNA is filed under the name uncultured bacterium. RNAcentral's name for it is "partial 16S ribosomal RNA". It matches the Rfam family "Bacterial small subunit ribosomal RNA", at positions 118 to 346 of the family's 1533-position model. The record is from RNAcentral.